GCGCGAAAACUUUACAAUGCGGGAAACCGCGAUAAGGGGACACUGAGUGCCAGCACCAUGUGUUGGCUGUCCGCAUGUAUAAAUCACAUGUGUUAGCAAGGGCCGGGCAAGACCGGUGCCAGCCGCCGCGGUAACACCGGCGGCCCGAGUGGUGGCCAUUAUUAUUGGGUCUAAAGGGUCCGUAGCCGGUUUGAUCAGUCUUCCGGGAAAUCUGACAGCUCAACUGUUAGGCUUCUGGGGGAUACUGUCAGACUUGGAACCGGGAGAGGUAAGAGGUACUACAGGGGUAGGAGUGAAAUCUUGUAAUCCUUGUGGGACCACCAGUGGCGAAGGCGUCUUACCAGAACGGGUUCGACGGUGAGGGACGAAAGCUGGGGGCACGAACCGGAUUAGAUACCCGGGUAGUCCCAGCCGUAAACGAUGCUCGCUAGGUGUCUGGGAUGGUGCGACCGUUUCAGGUGCCGCAGGGAAGCCGUGAAGCGAGCCACCUGGGAAGUACGGCCGCAAGGCUGAAACUUAAAGGAAUUGGCGGGGGA
Molecule: ribosomal RNA, 536 nt
Filed under: uncultured Methanosarcinales archaeon
Lineage: Archaea; Methanobacteriati; Methanobacteriota; Methanomicrobia; Methanosarcinales
Description: bacterial SSU rRNA
Rfam family: Archaeal small subunit ribosomal RNA
Source: RNAcentral